RNAcentral lists this long non-coding RNA (366 nucleotides) under Piliocolobus tephrosceles (Ugandan red Colobus). RNAcentral describes it as "lncRNA (ENSPTEG00000023655.1)". The record is from RNAcentral. Lineage: Eukaryota; Metazoa; Chordata; Mammalia; Primates; Cercopithecidae.
AUGUUUAUGUUUAUAUAUAGAUUUGGUAAAGAAGAUUGUGAAUUAGUUAGGCAAGCAGAACACUUCGCGACCGAACACUUGGUACAAUUAUGGCUCGUAUCAUCGCUUACAGGGAAAAAUGUUAAGAAGUUAUUCUUACAUAUGGUUAACAUGGUUUUCAAUAACACGAAUUUGUGGAAAUACGAUAUGGAAGAUGUAAUAUAUACAUAUACAUGUAUUUACGUUUACACAUAUAUAUAUAUUUACAUGUACAUAUAUGAAUGAAUAAACAUUUCCUCCCCCCCAUUCUUUUCUUUUUUCAGUCUGGAUCCGAAUCUUCAGAAAAUUAAAAUUAAAAAAAAAUAAAAUAAAAUAAAAACCUAAGCA